CACAGAUUACUCGCCUCCUAUUUAAGUCUCCUUUCCGCCACUGCAGUCUAAAGUUACAAACUGCACGCGCUGCACUUCCAAUUCAGACAUCAUCACAGCCGAACCUCUCUGAGCCGACAGGAUGAGUUCACGUGUUCUGAAGAUUAAAGAUGGGAGGUUGGUGAAAGCCUUGAAAUUUGAAGAUGGAUUCAAGCUGUGUGCUGUUGACUCCCAAACAAAUGAUGAUAUGGUCUACAUAGAGAAACACCGCUCAAACAACUGGAUAGCUUUUAAAUUCAAUCUGAUGGGGGAAGACUAUUUCCUAAAGGGGAAUAAACACUCCCUUGAGCUGGUUCCGCUGGAUCAGCUGGAUAGUGACUCAGUGGAGUACUGGUUUCAGAAGCACAACUAUGGAGGCAGCGAACACUACAGUCUCAAAACUGUGCGUCAACCGCAAAAAUACGUCUGCAUAUCUCAGAAAGGCAGACGAUGGUUUUUCAGCCUCAGUGACACCAAGCGGGGUUUGGCUGAAGUCAAAGAUGAGGCAAAGUAGAUGUAUGCAUUCGCCAACAGCCUUUUGCACACAUUUACUGCAGUCUGUUCUGUCUACAAACUAAAGAGGAAGACAGUUUAUCUUUAGCUGAAUCCAAGCAGAACUCUCUCUUCCUGCUGUGCUUUGAUAAAGUAGCUGGACUAACUAGAGCUACAAACUGGAGAUUAGUCUGGCUGGCUAAUUUUGUAUUCUUGGUAUAGGGGGAAAAAUGCUUUGGUAGUUGGGUUGGGUGGUAAAAGCACAAAAUAAAACUUUGCUCUUUUUUUCAUAUUGUAAACUACAGGUGGUGCAAAGCGAUGAGACUACUGGCCAAUCUCAAAGAAACUGUACAAACAUUGUCCAUAUGUUUUUUUAAAAAGAAUUUAUUACAAAUCCCAAUUCUUUAGAUUUUUGUAUUCAUCGUUCCCCUGUGAUUGCAAUAUACACUCUCUGUUUGUUUCACAUGCCACGCUCAGCGACAAAAGUUUGUUCUUGGCACCACAACAAACAUAGUGAAGAAUUCGGAAAAAGCAGGUUUUUGUACGAUAUGAGUUUUUAGCCCCUAAUAUGAUCAGACACUGUGGCGCCCGAAAUUGGUGUGAAACUUGUUUUUGUUCUAUGGAAAAGUUCACAGCUACACACCUAAAAUGAAUUUCCUGGUCUCACACUUUGAAAUGUUUGGCUUGAAUAACAAAGGAAACAACUGCAGCAGAAUUUAUCAUGAUAAGAAAUGAAGGGGGGCAAAAGCAUGCAGAGUGGCUGCAGUACACGAGGUUUUUUAGAGGUUUGACGACCCUGGCAAAAAGUUCUUAGUUAUUACUGCCGUCAGUAAUAUGUGGCGCACCAAGGAAUGUGGUCUACUGUUGGUUUGUGUUGUGUUGGGUCUUUUUCCUUCGCUCCUGCAUUUUGUCUUGAGAAGACAAGAAUCAUAAAAGAUAAACAACUUCUGUUUUGUAAGGUGGAAAAUAAAGUGUAAAAACGCCCCUGC
This is a long non-coding RNA of Pelmatolapia mariae (spotted tilapia), 1499 nucleotides long. RefSeq lists it as uncharacterized. The transcript has 5 exons. NCBI's taxonomy places the organism in Eukaryota, Metazoa, Chordata, Actinopteri, Cichliformes, Cichlidae. The record is from RefSeq and is a predicted model, not a curated record.